AAUAGAUACCCUGGUAGUCCACGCCGUAAACAAUGAGUGCUAAGUGUUAGAGGGUUUCCGCCCUUUAGUGCUGCAGCUAACGCAUUAAGCACUCCGCCUGGGGAGUACGGUCGCAAGACUGAAACUCAAAGGAAUUGACGGGGGCCCGCACAAGCGGUGGAGCAUGUGGUUUAAUUCGAAGCAACGCGAAGAACCUUACCAGGUCUUGACAUCCUCUGACAACUCUAGAGAUAGAGCAUUCCCCUUCGGGGGACAGAGUGACAGGUGGUGCAUGGUUGUCGUCAGCUCGUGUCGUGAGAUGUUGGGUUAAGUCCCGCAACGAGCGCAACCCUUGAUCUUAGUUGCCAGCAUUCAGUUGGGCACUCUAAGGUGACUGCCGGUGACAAACCGGAGGAAGGUGGGGAUGACGUCAAAUCGUCAUGCCCCUUAUGACCUGGGCUACACACGUGCUACAAUGGAUGGUACAAAGGGCUGCAAGACCGCGAGGUCAAGCCAAUCCCAUAAAACCAUUCUCAGUUCGGAUUGUAC
RNAcentral lists this ribosomal RNA (528 nucleotides) under uncultured bacterium. Its description in RNAcentral is "bacterial SSU rRNA". It matches the Rfam family "Bacterial small subunit ribosomal RNA", at positions 777 to 1303 of the family's 1533-position model. The record is from RNAcentral.